UCUGGGAUUAGAUACCCUGUUAUUUAAAAUGUAAUUAAAAAAAAUAGAAUAGUAUUAGUUAUGUGCUUGAAAUUUAAAAAAUUUGGCGGUAUUUUAAUUUAUUCAGAGGAACUUGUUUUAUAAUUGAUAAUCCUCAUUAUAUCUUACUUAAUAUUAUUAAAUUUGUAUACCGUCGUCAUAAGAAUUUCUUAAAAGAGUAAUAAUUUUCUAAAAUUUUAAUUUUAAAUUAUGUCAGAUCAAGGUGCAGUUUAUGAUUAAGAAAAAAUGAGUUACAAUAAAUUUAUUUAAACAGUAUUAAAAAUUAAAUUUUUUAAUUAAGGUGGAUUUGAAAGUAAAAUAAACAAUACAAUUUAUUUGACUUAAACUCUAAAAUAUGUACAAAUCGCCCGUCACUCUCUGA
RNAcentral lists this ribosomal RNA (400 nucleotides) under Neoclastobasis draskovitsae. RNAcentral describes it as "partial 12S ribosomal RNA". The record is from RNAcentral. Lineage: Eukaryota; Metazoa; Arthropoda; Insecta; Diptera; Mycetophilidae.